AGCUAUUAAGUCCUGCGUAGACUGUGAGUGCGGAGACACAGCAGAGAGUAAGGAGCCCCCACGGCUCUUCAACCAACACAGGCCACUAAUUGUAUGCUCUAAGUGGCAUAUUAGGAAUCUUAGGAAGUGUCUCUGCUACACAGACAAGAAAGGGUGAUUGGAAAGAUAAGAUGCAAGAUGAGAAAGCGCUGCUACCCCGCGAAGUCAAGUAUCAAGAACAUUGUGAUUGAUUGUGUGCAAGGCCACUGUUAAAUUGAGCAGAAUCAAGACUGACAGAAAACUCUGGGGUUGGCAAUCAGUAAGUCACAUUUUGUUACAUGCACAAGGAUCAGAACAUAUUUUGUGAAACAUACACCAAAUGAAAAAAAUUUGAGAGGCACUGUGAGGAGAAAAGAAAAAAAUUUUAAAGUAUUUUGGAGUUAAGCUUACUAUAGUUUUAAGAAGCUAUAUUUUCCUACCUAACCCAAAUCAAGAAGCAUUUAAGGCCACAAAUGACGGACAACCAUCUAAAGGGUCAACUGAAAACUGCAGAUCUCCAUGCUGCUUUCUAACAAAAGCAGACACAACGAAGUCAUUGAAAGGAUGGUCUCUUUCCGGCUGAUUUGACUCCAUCUCCUCUCUCAUUGCU
Microcebus murinus (gray mouse lemur) is the source of this 628-nucleotide non-coding RNA. NCBI's taxonomy places the organism in Eukaryota, Metazoa, Chordata, Mammalia, Primates, Cheirogaleidae. The record is from RefSeq and is a predicted model, not a curated record.